RNAcentral lists this ribosomal RNA (155 nucleotides) under Clostridioides difficile. RNAcentral's name for it is "partial 16S ribosomal RNA". It matches the Rfam family "Bacterial small subunit ribosomal RNA", at positions 1388 to 1533 of the family's 1533-position model. The record is from RNAcentral. Lineage: Bacteria; Bacillati; Bacillota; Clostridia; Peptostreptococcales; Peptostreptococcaceae.
CACCGCCCGUCACACCACGGGAGUUGGAGACGCCCGAAGCCGAUUAUCUAACCUUUUGGAAGAAGUCGUCGAAGGUGGAAUCAAUAACUGGGGGGAAGUCGUAACAAGGUAGCCGUAUCGGAAGGUGCGGCUGGAUCACCUCCUUUCUAAGGAGA